RNAcentral lists this long non-coding RNA (210 nucleotides) under Mytilus galloprovincialis (Mediterranean mussel). The record is from RNAcentral. Lineage: Eukaryota; Metazoa; Mollusca; Bivalvia; Mytilida; Mytilidae.
GUCAAAUGUUUUAAUACUGUUACAAGAUGAAAGAGAGUUAAAUUUUAUGUACUCUAAAAGAUCUUUGGAAUUUUUAAGUAUCCACAUCUGAUUCACGCCACCUCUAGAAUAGGCAGUUUCACAUUAACUUUGAAGCCCGUCUUUGAUUGCUGAUAAAAUAGAUGUUAAUAAUUUAGAAAGAGGUUUCGUGGAGCACUUGGAAGACCCAGC